This 370-nucleotide long non-coding RNA is filed under the name Bos taurus (domestic cattle). RNAcentral's name for it is "long non-coding RNA NONBTAT004993". Lineage: Eukaryota; Metazoa; Chordata; Mammalia; Artiodactyla; Bovidae. The record is from RNAcentral.
GUAUCUUAAUAUUUGGGUCUUUAUCAUUCCUGGCAAAAUGAUAUGGAGCCAUGAAAUCUGGAUCAAGGCAGGAAUGUCUUUAAGACCUUAUUAUACCACUCCUAACAACAAACACUUAUACUGAAUUUUCUCAUUGCAACACUGUGUUAAGCACAUCACAUUAAUUUUCUUUUCCUCCCAAGCAAGAUUUCAACAACAUGAAGGAGCCAGCCUGCACUGAGAAAAGCACCAAGAGUCAGGCCUGUGUAUUUAGAGUGUCAGGAAAAGAGCUUUUCCAGGUGAGCAAAUGCUUUGUUACCAUGUCCAUCGCUUCUCCCUGGAUUUGCUCCCAUGUAUUUAAUGGCUCUUUUCUCCUGAGCCCUCUCCCAAC